RNAcentral lists this ribosomal RNA (253 nucleotides) under uncultured bacterium. RNAcentral's name for it is "partial 16S ribosomal RNA". It matches the Rfam family "Bacterial small subunit ribosomal RNA", at positions 524 to 776 of the family's 1533-position model. The record is from RNAcentral.
UACGUAGGGUGCGAGCGUUGUCCGGAAUUAUUGGGCGUAAAGGGCUCGUAGGCGGUUUGUCGCGUCGGGAGUGAAAACCUCGGGCUUAACUCGGGGCUUGCUUUCGAUACGGGCAGACUGGAGGUAUGCAGGGGAGAACGGAAUUCCUGGUGUAGCGGUGAAAUGCGCAGAUAUCAGGAGGAACACCGGUGGCGAAGGCGGCUUGCUGGGCCAGUUCUGACGCUGAGGAGCGAAAGCGUGGGGAGCGAACAGG